CCAGCGGUUAGGCCGGGAACUCAAAGGAGACUGCCAGUGAUAAACUGGAGGAAGGUGGGGAUGACGUCAAGUCAUCAUGGCCCUUACGAGUAGGGCUACACACGUGCUACAAUGGCGCAUACAAAGAGAAGCGACCUCGCGAGAGCAAGCGGACCUCAUAAAGUGCGUCGUAGUCCGGAUUGGAGUCUGCAACUCGACUCCAUGAAGUCGGAAUCGCUAGUAAUCGUGGAUCAGAAUGCCACGGUGAAUACGUUCCCGGGCCUUGUACACACCGCCCGUCACACCAUGGGAGUGGGUUGCAAAAGAAGUAGGUAGCUUAACCUUCGGGAGGGCGCUUACCACUUUGUGAUUCAUGACUGGGGUGAAGUCGUAACAAGGUAACCGUAGGGGAACCUGCGGUUGGAUCACCUCCUU
Molecule: ribosomal RNA, 414 nt
Filed under: Enterobacter hormaechei
Lineage: Bacteria; Pseudomonadati; Pseudomonadota; Gammaproteobacteria; Enterobacterales; Enterobacteriaceae
Description: bacterial SSU rRNA
Rfam family: Bacterial small subunit ribosomal RNA
Source: RNAcentral